GAGUUUGAUCGUGGCUCAGAUUGAACGCUGGCGGCAUGCCUAACACACGCAAGUCGAACGGCAGCACUGGGAGCUUGCUCCCUGGUGGCGAGUGGCGGACGGGUGAGUAACGCGUAGGAAUCUGCCUCAUAGCGGGGGACAACUCGGGGAAACUCGAGCUAAUACCGCAUACUACUCGAGAGAGGAAAGCAGGGGACCUUCGGGCCUUGCACUAUGAGAUGAGCCUGCGUUGGAUUAGCUAGUUGGUAGGGGUAAAGGGCCUACCAAGGCGACGAUCCAUAACUGGUUUGUAGAGGAUGACCAGUCACACUGGGACUGAGACACGGCCCAGACUCCUACGGGAGGCAGCAGUGGGGAAGUAUUGGACAA
Molecule: ribosomal RNA, 369 nt
Filed under: uncultured microorganism
Description: bacterial SSU rRNA
Rfam family: Bacterial small subunit ribosomal RNA
Source: RNAcentral